Molecule: long non-coding RNA, 796 nt
Organism: Motacilla alba alba
Lineage: Eukaryota; Metazoa; Chordata; Aves; Passeriformes; Motacillidae
Exons: 3
Source: RefSeq, a predicted model, not a curated record
GUCUCACUUUCUGGUGCAACUCCAAGCCUCCAUUCUCGUUUGUUUGCUUUAGGCAAUUGACUCGGCAUAUGUCCAGCCACCCCCACCAGCCAGCACAUGCACCGGGUUUCCUGCACAUGUGGGCCUUGUGGAAGUAUUACAGGACUCUGCGAUGAAGCCUUUAAAUUUUCUAUUUCACUGUCCUAUCUGGGUAGCCAUCAGGACAGGCCAAGGAGUUGUGGCAGACCCUGCGACAACGGCGUCAGCCUCCGAGCACGGCCAAAGCGUGCGGCCCGAGGACCUGGGCAUUCUUAAGAAUGUGAGUAAGAUACAACAGCCCGGUGCCAGCAGGGACUGCUCAGAUGGCGAGGCUGCUUUCUUUUGCACCUGACACAGAUUGGCAUGCCCACCUGUCUGAGAGAUGAGUAGAGGGCUGCGACCCGCAGAGGGGAUGAAAGUGGGUUGCUGGGCUGGGACUCACCGGGAGGGAUUUUUGAGUCUGCUUUGGAGACGGAUGUGGAAGAAGUGGCCCCUUAGGCCAUGAAAAGGGAAAGUGUCACUUUUGAUCACAGUGCUGAGGUGCUCAGGGCAGAGCAGUCCCGGUGUGUCUCGUGUCACUUGUCCGUCGUGCAUUAUGUGUUGUUUGGGUAUCCCAUGUCACAGGUCUUUUUCCUUAGCCCUUUGAGGGGCCUGUCAGAAACCCAUGCAUCAUUCUUAGCAUCUGUGAUCUCUGCGUUCCUUGGCCUGGCACCGAUGCCAUAGAACUUUUGACUCGGGAGCUCAGACAGGCAUCAGAACUGCCACUCUUUUUAGAAGC